ACAAGUUGACUAUAAAUUUAAGCAGUUGUGGCUGUCUUAUUUUGGUAACUUCAUUAUAAAAGAAGUUGCACUAUUACAAAAUAAAUAAAUGCUUAAAAUGCAAUCAAUUCAACAACCUUUCUUUAUAUAUAUCAAGAGAAACCCAUCAGGAAAAGUACAUUGCAAAAGAAUCUUAAAAGAAGUUGCAUCAUUCAAUACAAAAUACAACAACCUAGUGCUCAAGAGACAACCACCAGCCAAAGUACAUUACAAAAGAAGCUUAAACAAAUUGUAUCAUUCAAUACAAAAUAUGCUAGAUAUCUUUUAACAACAACCUACUGCUAAGAUAAUCUCAUUGAACCUUUCUUUAUAUGUAUUAUCCCAAGCCAAUAGCUUAUAGCUAUUAGAAGUACAGAACAACAAAGCACAAUAAAUUUGAUAAUUCUUCCCCACUUCUUUUCUCUUUCUUUGAUCUUCUCAAUCUCUUCUUUCAACUUCUCUAAUUUCAUAUCAACACAAUUAUCAUCUUUUUUGAAUUAUUUGGGCUUGUCUACUUCAUGAGAAGCUUCCUCCGCAAAUUUGUUCAACUCAAAUUUUUCAACCUCAUUAACUGAUGUAUGAUUGUCAAUAUAUUAAGAAGACUCAACUAAAUUCUCAAGCUCACCUAAUUUCUUUAUUAGCUUAGGAAUCACAUAUUUGAACCUUGAAUUAAUAUCUUCUCUAUCCCUCCAACAUCAAAAGUCGCAAGAUCUUUAAAGAAUGAAUUAGUCUUUAAUCAAAUCUAUCGGAAUAAUAAAAGCAAAAAAUUUAAUAUUAACCCUAUAAUAAGGAUACGUCCAGUAUCUUCUGUCGGGAUUCCUCGAAAUCCAAGAUGUCUUCAUGUGCUACAAAAAUCCAUGAUUACAACAAACUUUUUGCUUCAAAGCAUUAUCAUUUUUCUUCCAUACAAAGUGUAGUCAAAUUAACUGACCUCAUUAUGUGUUGCAAGAAUAAAUUAAGGUUCUUCAGGAGCGCUUAAAUUUGAAACAAAAGAGAAAUCAAUCUCAAUUUUUGCUUAAAUUUUGUAGAUGAAGCAGAUUUUGGAUAGAUUGAGAAAGAAGAGGAGUAAAUUAGGAUUUUUUAGGAGAAAUUUGGGUAGGGUGAUUUGGGAAUUUUAUAACCGUUACUUAUUUAAAAGGAAAAUUUUAAUUUAAAAAAUAAAAUAAAAGGCAAAGUUACCUGUUACGCGACUUUACUUGAACUUCGAAGGAUUGAAUUUAAUUCAGUUCAAAGUUGUUAAGGGGAUAGAUAAUUUUAUGUAAUUUAGGAUGUAAAAUAAUUUAUACGAACAAUUUCAGGAGUUAAAUAAUG
Molecule: long non-coding RNA, 1329 nt
Filed under: Capsicum annuum
Lineage: Eukaryota; Viridiplantae; Streptophyta; Magnoliopsida; Solanales; Solanaceae
Description: long non-coding RNA (CANN_LNC006513)
Source: RNAcentral